UGCUUUCUUCUUCUACUGCGAAGAAAUGAACACAACUUCCAGGAGAUAAGGAAAGAGAUGCUGCUCAGAGUAUUACAACAACACGGAGAGAUUCUACUUACAGUGCUAACAACACACAUUUCUGAUUUGCAAGGUUCGGCUGCAAAUCCGAAACCCUUUCAGUUCACUCGGACUUAAGAGAUCACCAGAUGUGGAAAAAUGAGUGUACAGCCCAAACACAGGACAGAGCCUUCCAUUUUCUGCAGCCUGCAUAGUCCAAGGAAGCAAAAUAUUUUCCACUUUGUAAAAUAUUUAAGGCCGCUAGGGGAGAAGUGCUGGCUGCUCCGCUGGAACAGAGAGGCUCUGCUCACCACAUGGAAAACGCAUCCGGAGACCAGAUUUUUCCAGAAGUAACUCAGCGGGCGCUGGGCUCUGGACGCUGGCUGCUAACCUCAGCAGUCUCGGGAGUGACUGGCCAUCCUACAGCCUGCCAAGCCCCUGAAGCUGCAUAGGGAUGAGGGAAGAGGUCUUCUCUGUACAGAGACCCAUUUACAGCAUGGGUCUAAGGAAUCAUCCUCUGGACUCUCCAAUUUCCCGAGAACUUAUACUUUGUGAAGACAUCAACUCUCUUCUGAAAUGUUAUUCUCUGGAGGAAAACACAAAUGGAGCAUCAAGUUAAAACAAGUAGGAUGGCUGUUACCAUCUUUGAGAGAGUCUACCUUCUACAGAAACAGAGAGCCCUUUAAUCAGGAAAACUGCAGAGCAGCAGCCUCUCUCCCUCAGCGGAGACUGCGCCAUGGCACACGGGGUUGGGGUUUAUAGGGCACAAAAGGGAACUUUGGGAGUGAAAUGAAAUCUGACUUUUUUCAGUUGAAUCAUUUUCUGAAGCAGCAUUUCUGUAUCACGGUUUCCAGUUAAUUCGCAAUCUUCUUCUCUCUUCAGUGUUGGGAAGCUUUCCCUUCCCUGCUCUGACUGCCCUGGCAGCCUGAGGUUGAAAAGAUGACUGGUCUCUGAUAGCCUAGGUCUUCAUCUCUGCCCUCCGCAUGCCGGUUCUUUCAUAGUUCUCAUGAUCUGACUACUUCUGAGAUCCUGGUGUCUGCUCUACCACCGUCUUUAACAUGGUGCACACUUCUUGCCUCAGCCGCACCUUAUUGGUAUGUUGGUGGGGUCAGGCCUCUUUCCUGGUCAUCCCACAGGGGCUCUCAAAAGAAUCAUGCCCUAGGAACUUGCCUGAACCUCUGGCAAGGUGUAGAAAACAAAGAUUUUGUAAUUUAUCAAGAUGAUCUCUGAUAUGUUGUUAUGUACAUACAUGACAUAUGUAUCUAUGGCAAACACACAGACUCACACAGGAACACAUGCAGACACACAUGCAAAUACAUACUUACAGAUGCAUACAGACUCAUACACAGAAAAAUAUAGACAUAGAGACACAUACACAAACCUACAAAAGGCACAUAUUCAAACAUACAAACUCACACACAGACACAUAAAACACACAGUGACACAGAAACAUAGACACACAUUCAGAGAUGCACACACACACACACACACACACACACACUUAUGUGUUUGCUCGCUUGGAAAAAUUUAAUCUUGAAGAGCUAGGGAGUUUUUGCCUUUAUCUGUCUUUUGCUUUGAAUUUUUUAGUUAUCAUUGGUUAAAUAAACAACUCUUAUUUCCCAAUAAUCUGUAUGCCUUUUUAGACCAAGUGCUUUAGACCUUUGGCGGUUUUCCCAGCCUUUCUUGGUAUGAAUACUCUAAUGAAGGCUUCCUGACGUCGUAUUUCCCAGCUGGGUCUCUGCAAGCCCCCAGGGAAGCAGGUCUACCUCAUGAGAUAUUCUGAAUGCUGACGAGGAAGCUGGCGCAUGGCUAACCAUGCUAAUAAGGGCCAAGCAAGAAUUCAUUAUAUGAAUGGCAACCAAAUUGAGCUCAUAAAAUAUAUGCCUUCUUAUGACUUUCAUUUAAAAUACUGCUAUUUUUUGUUUAAAUAUUUUCUAUGCUAGAUUUAAUAAAUGUCUUCUUUCUUAA
Long non-coding RNA from Alexandromys fortis (reed vole), 2007 nucleotides. RefSeq lists it as uncharacterized. NCBI's taxonomy places the organism in Eukaryota, Metazoa, Chordata, Mammalia, Rodentia, Cricetidae. The record is from RefSeq and is a predicted model, not a curated record. The transcript is spliced from 4 exons.